This 497-nucleotide ribosomal RNA is filed under the name uncultured bacterium. Its description in RNAcentral is "partial 16S ribosomal RNA". It matches the Rfam family "Bacterial small subunit ribosomal RNA", at positions 28 to 507 of the family's 1533-position model. The record is from RNAcentral.
GACGAACGCUGGCGGCGUGCCUAAUACAUGCAAGUUGAGCGCCGAAGGUUGGUACUUGUUCCAACUGGAUGAGCAGCGAACGGGUGAGUAACGCGUGGGGAAUCUGCCUUUGAGCGGGGGACAACAUUUGGAAACGAAUGCUAAUACCGCAUAAAAACUUUAAACACAAGUUUUAAGUUUGAAAGAUGCAAUUGCAUCACUCAAAGAUGAUCCCGCGUUGUAUUAGCUAGUUGGUGAGGUAAAGGCUCACCAAGGCGAUGAUACAUAGCCGACCUGAGAGGGUGGUCGGCCACAUUGGGACUGAGACACGGCCCAAACUCCUACGGGAGGCAGCAGUAGGGAAUCUUCGGCAAUGGACGAAAGUCUGACCGAGCAACGCCGCGUGAGUGAAGAAGGUUUUCGGAUCGUAAAAAUCUGUUGGUAGAGAAGAACGUUGGUGAGAGUGGAAAGCUCAUCAAGUGACGGUAACUACCCAGAAAGGGACGGCUAACUACGUG